AUUGAACGCUGGCGGCAUGCUUUACACAUGCAAGUCGAACGGUAACAGGCCUUCGGGUGCUGACGAGUGGCGAACGGGUGAGUAAUGCAUCGGAACGUGCCCAAUCGUGGGGGAUAACGUAGCGAAAGUUACGCUAAUACCGCAUAAGCCCUGAGGGGGAAAGUGGGGGACCGCAAGGCCUCACGCGAAUGGAGCGGCCGAUGUCAGAUUAGCUAGUUGGUGGGGUAAAGGCUCACCAAGGCGACGAUCUGUAGCGGGUCUGAGAGGAUGAUCCGCCACACUGGGACUGAGACACGGCCCAGACUCCUACGGGAGGCAGCAGUGGGGAAUUUUGGACAAUGGGCGCAAGCCUGAUCCAGCCAUGCCGCGUGCGGGACGAAGGCCUCGGUUGUAAACCGGCUUUCUAGCCGGAAGAAAUACGCUGUUUUAAUUACGGUACAGUGGAUGACGGUACCGGAAGAAGAAGACACCGGCUAACUACGUAGCCAGCAGCCGCGGUAAACGUAGUACGU
This 512-nucleotide ribosomal RNA is filed under the name uncultured bacterium. Its description in RNAcentral is "bacterial SSU rRNA". It matches the Rfam family "Bacterial small subunit ribosomal RNA", at positions 29 to 534 of the family's 1533-position model. The record is from RNAcentral.